This 76-nucleotide transfer RNA is filed under the name Methanomassiliicoccales archaeon. RNAcentral describes it as "tRNA-Arg". It matches the Rfam family "tRNA". Rfam says of the family: Transfer RNA (tRNA) molecules are approximately 80 nucleotides in length. Their secondary structure includes four short double-helical elements and three loops (D, anti-codon, and T loops). Further hydrogen bonds mediate the characteristic L-shaped molecular structure. tRNAs have two regions of fundamental functional importance: the anti-codon, which is responsible for specific mRNA codon recognition, and the 3' end, to which the tRNAs corresponding amino acid is attached (by aminoacyl-tRNA synthetases). tRNAs cope with the degeneracy of the genetic code in two manners: having more than one tRNA (with a specific anti-codon) for a particular amino acid; and 'wobble' base-pairing, i.e. permitting non-standard base-pairing at the 3rd anti-codon position. RNAcentral also lists the same sequence under 2 other names. Lineage: Archaea; Methanobacteriati; Thermoplasmatota; Thermoplasmata; Methanomassiliicoccales. The record is from RNAcentral.
GGGCCCAUGUGGUAGCUUGGAUCAAUCCUGAUGGUCUUCGGAACCAUCGACUCGGGUUCGAAUCCCGACGGGCCCA